CCUACGGGGCGCAGCAGUCGAGAAUCAUUCACAAUGGGGGAAACCCUAAUGGUGCGACGCCGCGUGGGGGAAUGAAGGUCUUCGGAUUGUAAACCCCUGUCAUGUGGGAGCAAAUUAAAAAGAUAGUACCACAAGAGGAAGAGACGGCUAACUCUGUGCCAGCAGCCGCGGUAAUACAGAGGUCUCAAGCGUUGUUCGGAAUCACUGGGCGUAAAGCGUGCGUAGGCUGUUUCGUAAGUCGUGUGUGAAAGGCGAGGGCUCAAGCCGCGGACUGCACAUGAUACUGCGAGACUAGAGUAAAGGAGGGGGAACCGGAAUUCGCGGUGUAGCAGUGAAAUGCGUAGAUAUCGAGAGGAACACUAGUGGCGAAGGCGGGUUCCUGGACAUUAACUGACGCUGAGGCACGAAGGCCAGGGGAGCGAAAGGGAUUAGAUACCCUUGUAGUC
This 446-nucleotide ribosomal RNA is filed under the name uncultured bacterium. Its description in RNAcentral is "partial 16S ribosomal RNA". It matches the Rfam family "Bacterial small subunit ribosomal RNA", at positions 338 to 795 of the family's 1533-position model. The record is from RNAcentral.